RNAcentral lists this transfer-messenger RNA (360 nucleotides) under Muribaculaceae bacterium. RNAcentral's name for it is "partial transfer-messenger RNA". It matches the Rfam family "transfer-messenger RNA", at positions 1 to 330 of the family's 374-position model. Rfam says of the family: Bacterial tmRNA, also known as 10Sa RNA or SsrA, is named for its dual tRNA and mRNA-like properties. Its role is to liberate the mRNA from a stalled ribosome. The record is from RNAcentral. Lineage: Bacteria; Pseudomonadati; Bacteroidota; Bacteroidia; Bacteroidales; Muribaculaceae.
GGGGGUAACUGGAUUUGACAGCACGUAGAAACGGUACGUAAGCAUGCAGAGCUUUGAUGUGCAAGCUCUAUAAUAACAACGCAUCGAACUAUAAUUGGCGAAAAUAACAAUUACGCUCUCGCUGCCUAAACCGAAGUAUAGUAAGUUGGCUUUAUUCGCCUCAAAGUGAGGUGAACGAGACAUCAUCCCAUUGUCCUGUUCCGAGACGCUUGGAUAAGAUGGUGCAGACUAAUUCGGAAAUAGAAUCUGCUUUAUCUCGCAGCAGGUUUGAAACUUAGAGGUUAAGAUUCAGAUUGGUCGCCACCGGCCUGUCUGGAUUCGAAAAUCAAACGGAUGGCUAAGCAUGUAGAAAGCCUAUCG